GGGUUGUGAGGUUAAGCGACUAAGCGUACACGGUGGAUGCCCUGGCAGUCAGAGGCGAUGAAGGACGUGCUAAUCUGCGAUAAGCGUCGGUAAGGUGAUAUGAACCGUUAUAACCGGCGAUUUCCGAAUGGGGAAACCCAGUGUGUUUCGACACACUAUCAUUAACUGAAUCCAUAGGUUAAUGAGGCGAACCGGGGGAACUGAAACAUCUAAGUACCCCGAGGAAAAGAAAUCAACCGAGAUUCCCCCAGUAGCGGCGAGCGAACGGGGAGCAGCCCAGAGCCUGAAUCAGUGUGUGUGUUAGUGGAAGCGUCUGGAAAGGCGCGCGAUACAGGGUGACAGCCCCGUACACAAAAAUGCACAUGCUGUGAGCUCGAUGAGUAGGGCGGGACACGUGGUAUCCUGUCUGAAUAUGGGGGGACCAUCCUCCAAGGCUAAAUACUCCUGACUGACCGAUAGUGAACCAGUACCGUGAGGGAAAGGCGAAAAGAACCCCGGCGAGGGGAGUGAAAAAGAACCUGAAACCGUGUACGUACAAGCAGUGGGAGCACGCUUAGGCGUGUGACUGCGUACCUUUUGUAUAAUGGGUCAGCGACUUAUAUUCUGUAGCAAGGUUAACCGAAUAGGGGAGCCGAAGGGAAACCGAGUCUUAACUGGGCGUUAAGUUGCAGGGUAUAGACCCGAAACCCGGUGAUCUAGCCAUGGGCAGGUUGAAGGUUGGGUAACACUAACUGGAGGACCGAACCGACUAAUGUUGAAAAAUUAGCGGAUGACUUGUGGCUGGGGGUGAAAGGCCAAUCAAACCGGGAGAUAGCUGGUUCUCCCCGAAAGCUAUUUAGGUAGCGCCUCGUGAAUUCAUCUCCGGGGGUAGAGCACUGUUUCGGCAAGGGGGUCAUCCCGACUUACCAACCCGAUGCAAACUGCGAAUACCGGAGAAUGUUAUCACGGGAGACACACGGCGGGUGCUAACGUCCGUCGUGAAGAGGGAAACAACCCAGACCGCCAGCUAAGGUCCCAAAGUCAUGGUUAAGUGGGAAACGAUGUGGGAAGGCCCAGACAGCCAGGAUGUUGGCUUAGAAGCAGCCAUCAUUUAAAGAAAGCGUAAUAGCUCACUGGUCGAGUCGGCCUGCGCGGAAGAUGUAACGGGGCUAAACCAUGCACCGAAGCUGCGGCAGCGACACUAUGUGUUGUUGGGUAGGGGAGCGUUCUGUAAGCCUGUGAAGGUGUACUGUGAGGUAUGCUGGAGGUAUCAGAAGUGCGAAUGCUGACAUAAGUAACGAUAAAGCGGGUGAAAAGCCCGCUCGCCGGAAGACCAAGGGUUCCUGUCCAACGUUAAUCGGGGCAGGGUGAGUCGACCCCUAAGGCGAGGCCGAAAGGCGUAGUCGAUGGGAAACAGGUUAAUAUUCCUGUACUUGGUGUUACUGCGAAGGGGGGACGGAGAAGGCUAUGUUGGCCGGGCGACGGUUGUCCCGGUUUAAGCGUGUAGGCUGGUUUUCCAGGCAAAUCCGGAAAAUCAAGGCUGAGGCGUGAUGACGAGGCACUACGGUGCUGAAGCAACAAAUGCCCUGCUUCCAGGAAAAGCCUCUAAGCAUCAGGUAACAUCAAAUCGUACCCCAAACCGACACAGGUGGUCAGGUAGAGAAUACCAAGGCGCUUGAGAGAACUCGGGUGAAGGAACUAGGCAAAAUGGUGCCGUAACUUCGGGAGAAGGCACGCUGAUAUGUAGGUGAAGUCCCUCGCGGAUGGAGCUGAAAUCAGUCGAAGAUACCAGCUGGCUGCAACUGUUUAUUAAAAACACAGCACUGUGCAAACACGAAAGUGGACGUAUACGGUGUGACGCCUGCCCGGUGCCGGAAGGUUAAUUGAUGGGGUUAGCCGCAAGGCGAAGCUCUUGAUCGAAGCCCCGGUAAACGGCGGCCGUAACUAUAACGGUCCUAAGGUAGCGAAAUUCCUUGUCGGGUAAGUUCCGACCUGCACGAAUGGCGUAAUGAUGGCCAGGCUGUCUCCACCCGAGACUCAGUGAAAUUGAACUCGCUGUGAAGAUGCAGUGUACCCGCGGCAAGACGGAAAGACCCCGUGAACCUUUACUAUAGCUUGACACUGAACAUUGAGCCUUGAUGUGUAGGAUAGGUGGGAGGCUUUGAAGUGUGGACGCCAGUCUGCAUGGAGCCGACCUUGAAAUACCACCCUUUAAUGUUUGAUGUUCUAACGUGGACCCGUGAUCCGGGUUGCGGACAGUGUCUGGUGGGUAGUUUGACUGGGGCGGUCUCCUCCUAAAGAGUAACGGAGGAGCACGAAGGUUGGCUAAUCCUGGUCGGACAUCAGGAGGUUAGUGCAAUGGCAUAAGCCAGCUUGACUGCGAGCGUGACGGCGCGAGCAGGUGCGAAAGCAGGUCAUAGUGAUCCGGUGGUUCUGAAUGGAAGGGCCAUCGCUCAACGGAUAAAAGGUACUCCGGGGAUAACAGGCUGAUACCGCCCAAGAGUUCAUAUCGACGGCGGUGUUUGGCACCUCGAUGUCGGCUCAUCACAUCCUGGGGCUGAAGUAGGUCCCAAGGGUAUGGCUGUUCGCCAUUUAAAGUGGUACGCGAGCUGGGUUUAGAACGUCGUGAGACAGUUCGGUCCCUAUCUGCCGUGGGCGCUGGAGAACUGAGGGGGGCUGCUCCUAGUACGAGAGGACCGGAGUGGACGCAUCACUGGUGUUCGGGUUGUCAUGCCAAUGGCACUGCCCGGUAGCUAAAUGCGGAAGAGAUAAGUGCUGAAAGCAUCUAAGCACGAAACUUGCCCCGAGAUGAGUUCUCCCUGAC
RNAcentral lists this ribosomal RNA (2803 nucleotides) under Escherichia coli. Its description in RNAcentral is "bacterial LSU rRNA". It matches the Rfam family "Bacterial large subunit ribosomal RNA". The record is from RNAcentral. Lineage: Bacteria; Pseudomonadati; Pseudomonadota; Gammaproteobacteria; Enterobacterales; Enterobacteriaceae.